CGGACGGGUGAGUAACGCGUGGGUAACCUGCCUCAUACAGGGGGAUAACAGUUAGAAGUGACUGCUAAUACCGCAUAAGCGCACAAAACCGCAUGGUUUGGUGUGAAAAACUGAGGUGGUAUGAGAUGGACCCGCGUCUGAUUAGCUAGUUGGAGAGGUAACGGCUCACCAAGGCAACGAUCAGUAGCCGACCUGAGAGGGUGACCGGCCACAUUGGGACUGAGACACGGCCCAAACUCCUACGGAAGGCAGCAG
This 255-nucleotide ribosomal RNA is filed under the name uncultured bacterium. RNAcentral describes it as "partial 16S ribosomal RNA". It matches the Rfam family "Bacterial small subunit ribosomal RNA", at positions 99 to 354 of the family's 1533-position model. The record is from RNAcentral.